AUUCUUUUAGUAUUACUUAGUACAAUUGACUUCCAAUCAAUUGGCUUCGGUAUAUCCGAAAAAGAAUA
RNAcentral lists this transfer RNA (68 nucleotides) under Lepilemur mustelinus (weasel lemur). RNAcentral describes it as "tRNA-Gly". It matches the Rfam family "tRNA". Rfam says of the family: Transfer RNA (tRNA) molecules are approximately 80 nucleotides in length. Their secondary structure includes four short double-helical elements and three loops (D, anti-codon, and T loops). Further hydrogen bonds mediate the characteristic L-shaped molecular structure. tRNAs have two regions of fundamental functional importance: the anti-codon, which is responsible for specific mRNA codon recognition, and the 3' end, to which the tRNAs corresponding amino acid is attached (by aminoacyl-tRNA synthetases). tRNAs cope with the degeneracy of the genetic code in two manners: having more than one tRNA (with a specific anti-codon) for a particular amino acid; and 'wobble' base-pairing, i.e. permitting non-standard base-pairing at the 3rd anti-codon position. The record is from RNAcentral. Lineage: Eukaryota; Metazoa; Chordata; Mammalia; Primates; Lepilemuridae.